This 492-nucleotide ribosomal RNA is filed under the name uncultured bacterium. RNAcentral's name for it is "partial 16S ribosomal RNA". It matches the Rfam family "Bacterial small subunit ribosomal RNA", at positions 29 to 507 of the family's 1533-position model. The record is from RNAcentral.
AGUGAACGCUGGCGGUAGGCCUAACACAUGCAAGUCGAACGGCAGCACAGUAAGAGCUUGCUCUUACGGGUGGCGAGUGGCGGACGGGUGAGGAAUACAUCGGAAUCUACUUUUUCGUGGGGGAUAACGUAGGGAAACUUACGCUAAUACCGCAUACGACCUACGGGUGAAAGCAGGGGAUCUUCGGACCUUGCGCGAUUGAAUGAGCCGAUGUCGGAUUAGCUAGUUGGCGGGGUAAAGGCCCACCAAGGUGACGAUCCGUAGCUGGUCUGAGAGGAUGAUCAGCCACACUGUAACUGAGACACGGUCCAGACUCCUACGGGAGGCAGCAGUGGGGAAUAUUGGACAAUGGGCGCAAGCCUGAUCCAUCCAUACCGCGUGGGUGAAGAAGGCCUUCGGGUUGUAAAGCCCUUUUGUUGGGAAAGAAAAGCAGCAGGUUAAUACCCCGCUGUUCUGACGGUACCCAAAGAAUAAGCACCGGCUAACUUCGUG